GCAGUCGACGCUGAAGCCUGGUGCUUGCACCGGGUGGAUGAGUGGCGAACGGGUGAGUAACACGUGAGUAACCUGCCCCUGACUUCGGGAUAAGCCCGGGAAACUGGGUCUAAUACCGGAUACGACUGCCGGACGCAUGUCUGGUGGUGGAAAGUUUUUUCGGUUGGGGAUGGGCUCGCGGCCUAUCAGUUUGUUGGUGAGGUAAUGGCUCACCAAGACGACGACGGGUAGCCGGCCUGAGAGGGCGACCGGCCACACUGGGACUGAGACACGGCCCAGACUCCUACGGGAGGCAGCAGUGGGGAAUAUUGCACAAUGGGGGAAACCCUGAUGCAGCGACGCAGCGUGCGGGAUGACGGCCUUCGGGUUGUAAACCGCUUUCAGCAGGGAAGAAGCGCAAGUGACGGUACCUGCAGAAGAAGUACCGGCUAACUACGUGCCAGCAGCCGCGGUAAUACGUAGGGUACGAGCGUUGUCCGGAAUUAUUGGGCGUAAAGAGCUCGUAGGUGGUUGGUCACGUCUGCUGUGGAAACGCAACGCUUAACGUUGCGCGUGCAGUGGGUACGGGCUGACUAGAGUGCAGUAGGGGAGUCUGGAAUUCCUGGUGUAGCGGUGAAAUGCGCAGAUAUCAGGAGGAACACCGGUGGCGAAGGCGGGACUCUGGGCUGUAACUGACACUGAGGAGCGAAAGCAUGGGGAGCGAACAGGAUUAGAUACCCUGGUAGUCCAUGCCGUAAACGUUGGGCACUAGGUGUGGGGGGCAUUCCACGUUCUCCGCGCCGUAGCUAACGCAUUAAGUGCCCCGCCUGGGGAGUACGGUCGCAAGGCUAAAACUCAAAGGAAUUGACGGGGGCCCGCACAAGCGGCGGAGCAUGCGGAUUAAUUCGAUGCAACGCGAAGAACCUUACCAAGGCUUGACAUACACCGGACCGUCCUGGAAACAGGUCCUCUUCUUUGAAGCUGGUGUACAGGUGGUGCAUGGUUGUCGUCAGCUCGUGUCGUGAGAUGUUUGGGUUAAGUCCCGCAACGAGCGCAACCCUCGUUCUAUGUUGCCAGCAUGGGGAUGGUGGGAACUCAUAGGAGACUGCCGGGUC
RNAcentral lists this ribosomal RNA (1094 nucleotides) under uncultured bacterium. Its description in RNAcentral is "bacterial SSU rRNA". It matches the Rfam family "Bacterial small subunit ribosomal RNA", at positions 57 to 1158 of the family's 1533-position model. The record is from RNAcentral.